Terfezia claveryi is the source of this 102-nucleotide non-coding RNA. NCBI's taxonomy places the organism in Eukaryota, Fungi, Ascomycota, Pezizomycetes, Pezizales, Pezizaceae. The record is from the annotation of a GenBank genome assembly.
GGCGAGAUGGCCGAGUUGGUUAUGGCGCCAGGUUAAGGAGCAUCCUUAGCAAUAUAUAUCCUGGUAGGGAAACCUGCGUGGGUUCAAGUCCCACUCUCGUCA